GAUGAACGCUGGCGGCGUGCCUAAUACAUGCAAGUCGAGCGAACAGAUAAGGAGCUUGCUCCUUUGACGUUAGCGGCGGACGGGUGAGUAACACGUGGGUAACCUACCUAUAAGACUGGGAUAACUUCGGGAAACCGGAGCUAAUACCGGAUAACAUCUGGAACCGCAUGGUUCUAAAGUGAAAGAUGGUUUUGCUAUCACUUAUAGAUGGACCCGCGCCGUAUUAGCUAGUUGGUAAGUUAACGGCUUACCAAGGCAACGAUACGUAGCCGACGUGAGAGGCUGAUCGCCCACACUGGAACGGAGACACGGACAAGACUACUAAGAGAGGCAGCAGUCGGGAAUCUGCCGCAAUGGGCGAAAACAUGACGGAGCAACGCCGCGUGAGUGAUGAAGGGUUUCGGCUCGUAAAACUCUGUUAUUAGGGAAAAACAAACGUGUAAGUAACUGUGCACGCCUUGACGGUACCUAAUCAGAAAGCCACGGCUAACUACGUG
Molecule: ribosomal RNA, 497 nt
Filed under: uncultured bacterium
Lineage: Bacteria
Description: partial 16S ribosomal RNA
Rfam family: Bacterial small subunit ribosomal RNA
Source: RNAcentral